GGAGGGAUGGCCGAGUGGUUGAAGGCGGCGGUCUUGAAAACCGUUGUUCCGUUUGCGCGGAACCGUGGGUUCGAAUCCUACUCCCUCCGCCA
RNAcentral lists this transfer RNA (92 nucleotides) under Syntrophobacter sp. SbD1. RNAcentral describes it as "tRNA-Ser". It matches the Rfam family "tRNA". From Rfam's summary of the family: Transfer RNA (tRNA) molecules are approximately 80 nucleotides in length. Their secondary structure includes four short double-helical elements and three loops (D, anti-codon, and T loops). The record is from RNAcentral. Lineage: Bacteria; Pseudomonadati; Thermodesulfobacteriota; Syntrophobacteria; Syntrophobacterales; Syntrophobacteraceae.